UGGCUCAGGAUGAACGCUAGCGGCAGGCCUAACACAUGCAAGUCGAACGGCAGCGGCACCUUCGGGUGGCCGGCGAGUGGCGCACGGGUGCGUAACGCGUAUGCAACCUACCUUCAACAGGGGGAUAGCCCAGGGAAACUUGGAUUAAUGCCCCAUGGAAACCUGGAUCCACCUGGAUCCAUUAUUAAAGCUUCGGCGGUAAAAGAUGGCUAUGCGUCCUAUUAGCUAGAUGGUGUGGUAACGGCACACCAUGGCAACGAUAGGUAGGGGCCCUGAGAGGGGGAUCCCCCACGCUGGCACUGAGACACGGACCAGACUCCUACGGGAGGCAGCAGUGAGGAAUAUUGGACAAUGGGGGCAACCCUGAUCCAGCCAUGCCGCGUGCAGGAAGACUGCCCUAUGGGUUGUAAACUGCUUUUAUACAGGAAGAAACACUCCCUCGUGAGGGAGCUUGACGGUACUGUAAGAAUAAGGAUCGGCUAACUCCGUGCCAGCAGCCGCGGUAAUACGGAGGAUCCAAGCGUUAUCCGGAAUCAUUGGGUUUAAAGGGUCCGUAGGUGGAUAAUUAAGUCAGGGGUGAAAGUCUGCAGCUCAACUGUAGAAUUGCCUUUGAUACUGGUUAUCUUGAGUUAUUAUGAAGUAGUUAGAAUAUGUAGUGUAGCGGUGAAAUGCAUAGAUAUUACAUAGAAUACCAAUUGCGAAGGCAGAUUACUAAUAAUAUACUGACACUGAUGGACGAAAGCGUGGGGAGCGAACAGGAUUAGAUACCCUGGUAGUCCACGCCGUAAACGAUGGAUACUAGCUGUUCGAUCUUCGGAUUGAGUGGCUAAGCGAAAGUGAUAAGUAUCCCACCUGGGGAGUACGUUCGCAAGAAUGAAACUCAAAGGAAUUGACGGGGGCCCGCACAAGCGGUGGAGCAUGUGGUUUAAUUCGAUAAUACGCGAGGAACCUUACCAGGGCUUAAAUGUAGAUUGACAGGGCUAGAGAUAGCUUUUCCUUCGGGCAAUUUACAAGGUGCUGCAUGGUUGUCGUCAGCUCGUGCCGUGAGGUGUCAGGUUAAGUCCUAUAACGAGCGCAACCCCUGCCGUUAGUUGCCAGCAUGUAAAGAUGGGGACUCUAACGGGACUGCCGGUGCAAACCGCGAGGAAGGUGGGGAUGACGUCAAAUCAUCACGGCCCUUACGUCCUGGGCCACACACGUGCUACAAUGGUAGGUACAGAGAGCAGCCACUGCGUAAGCAGGCGCGAAUCUUCAAAGCCUAUCUCAGUUCGGAUCGGAGUCUGCAACUCGACUCCGUGAAGCUGGAAUCGCUAGUAAUCGGAUAUCAGCCAUGAUCCGGUGAAUACGUUCCCGGGCCUUGUACACACCGCCCGUCAAGCCAUGGAAGCCGGGAGUGCCUGAAGUCCGUCACCGCAAGGAGCAGCCUAGGGCAAGAUCGGUAACUAGGGCUAAGUCGUA
This 1458-nucleotide ribosomal RNA is filed under the name uncultured prokaryote. RNAcentral's name for it is "partial 16S ribosomal RNA". It matches the Rfam family "Bacterial small subunit ribosomal RNA". The record is from RNAcentral.